This is a long non-coding RNA of Oncorhynchus keta (chum salmon), 674 nucleotides long. RefSeq lists it as uncharacterized. The transcript is spliced from 5 exons. NCBI's taxonomy places the organism in Eukaryota, Metazoa, Chordata, Actinopteri, Salmoniformes, Salmonidae. The record is from RefSeq and is a predicted model, not a curated record.
GUAGAUGUUACCUGUGUACAUGCAGGGCUAAGCUAGCUAGCGUUAGUUAGAUGAUACUAGGUAUAGAUAGAUGUUACCUGUGUACAUGCAGGGCUAAGCUAGCUAGCGUUAGUUAGAUGAUACUAGGUAUAGUUAGAUGAUACUAGGUAUAGGUAGAUGUUACCUGUGUACAUGCAGGGCUAAGCUAGCUAGCGUUAGUUAGAUGAUACUAGGUAUAGAUAGAUGUUACCUGUGUACAUGCAGGGCUAAGCUAGCUAGCGUUAGUUAGAUGAUACUAGGUAUAGGUAGAUGUUACCUGUGUACAUGCAGGGCUAAGCUAGCUAGCGUUAGUUAGAUGAUACUAGGUAUAGGUAGAUGUUACCUGUGUACAUGCAGGGCUAAGCUAGCUAGCGUUAGUUAGAUGAUACUAGGUAUAGGUAGAUGUUACCUGUGUACAUGCAGGGCUAAGCUAGCUAGCGUUAGUUAGUUAGAUGAUACUAGGUAUAGUUAGAUGAUACUAGGUAUAGGUAGAUGUUACCUGUGUACAUGCAGGGCUAAGCUAGCUAGCGUUAGUUAGAUGAUACUAGGUAUAGGUAGAUGUUACCUGUGUACAUGCAGGGCUAAGCUAACUAGCGUUAGUUAGAUGAUACUAGGUAUAGGUAGAUGUUACCCGUGUACAUGCAGGGCUAAGCUAA